UUGAAAGGGAAACGAUUGAAGUCAGUCGUACCGGCGGGUAAUCAGCCUUUUGAGCGUGAUUAUGUGGAGCGUGAGGAGUUAAACGCCUUCAUGCCUUCAUAUUCGUGCACUUUGGGUGUACUUGCUCGUGUGGUAGGUUAACAUCAAUUUCGAUCAUCAUAAAUUGGUUGGAGGAAUUGUAGCUUCGAUCUCGUAUUUGAGGUGUUAUAGCCUUAAGCAGAUGUGAUGAUUGGGAUUGAGGAUUGCAACGGAUACCGUUCGGGCUACCCGUCUGAUCUCUGAAGGUUACUCUGGUGCCGAAAGCUUGCUUACGGUAUCAAAGUUAACGUUCAACAGGUUAGAACGGGUUAAAUUCGUUAAGGAUGUUGACGUA
RNAcentral lists this ribosomal RNA (373 nucleotides) under uncultured Rhizophagus. RNAcentral describes it as "partial large subunit ribosomal RNA". Lineage: Eukaryota; Fungi; Glomeromycota; Glomeromycetes; Glomerales; Glomeraceae. The record is from RNAcentral.